UCCACGGCAGCCCCCACCCCAGCCCCCUCACUUCUCUCUGCAGGUUACACCACCCCCAACCUGGACCCCAUCCAAUAGGCUCGUGGUCCCUGAUGGUCCUGGACCACUGAUUUGAGGCCUUUCUGCUUCCUUUGAUUCAGUCUUUGGCAGAGACCCAGGAGCAGGAGUCCUUGAUGGCACCUGGCCCUUUCUAGUCACCGACAAGGGAAACCUGAGAAACCAUUCUCAGAAAUGGAACUAAAUUGACACAGCAUUUGUCUCCUCCAGAGGAUACAGCACCAAGGCGCCAUCUUGGAAGUAGACUGGAGCUCUUAGCAGACCAGAACCUGUGGGAAGCCUUUCUGAUGAGCCCAAGCAGCCAUCACUAAAAGAUCCGUGUGAAAUGGAGGCUAAUCUUCUGCAGGCAGGGAUAUGAAAGGAGAGGGUCUUCUA
RNAcentral lists this long non-coding RNA (432 nucleotides) under Homo sapiens (human). RNAcentral's name for it is "HSALNT0360417". Lineage: Eukaryota; Metazoa; Chordata; Mammalia; Primates; Hominidae. The record is from RNAcentral.